UACGUAGGGUGCGAGCGUUGCCCGGAUUUAUUGGGCGUAAAGGGCGCGUAGGCGGUCACGCACGUCCGUUGUGAAAUCGCUCAGCUCAACUGGGCGGGGUCAGCGGAUACGGUGUGACUGGAGCAAGCUAGGGGGCAAUGGAAUUCCCGGUGUAGUGGUGGAAUGCGUAGAUAUCGGGAGGAACACCAGUGGCGAAGGCGGUUGCCUGGAGCUUUGCUGACGCUGAUGCGCGAAAGCGUGGGGAGCGAUCCGG
RNAcentral lists this ribosomal RNA (253 nucleotides) under uncultured bacterium. RNAcentral describes it as "partial 16S ribosomal RNA". It matches the Rfam family "Bacterial small subunit ribosomal RNA", at positions 524 to 776 of the family's 1533-position model. The record is from RNAcentral.